This 366-nucleotide transfer RNA is filed under the name uncultured Microcystis sp. RNAcentral's name for it is "partial 16S-23S ribosomal RNA intergenic spacer". The stretch from base 134 to 207 matches the Rfam family "tRNA". The record is from RNAcentral. Lineage: Bacteria; Bacillati; Cyanobacteriota; Cyanophyceae; Chroococcales; Microcystaceae.
AAAGGGAGACCUAAUUCGGGUAGAAGACGAAAAAAAAGUAGUCCCUACCAAGAAUCAAUCCCAAAAGGUCGGAACGAGGUAUGUGGCUUUCAAACUAGGUUCUGGGUUCACACAAGACCUGAAUCAGGAACAAGGGCUAUUAGCUCAGGUGGUUAGAGCGCACCCCUGAUAAGGGUGAGGUCCCUGGUUCGAGUCCAGGAUGGCCCACCUGCACAGGUGGUAAAAACAAAGAAAAGAAGCGAGGAAUCAGCACCUUAUCUUAUCUAUAUAUAAGUAAGAGAGAAUGCUGGCUCUAAGUGAAGAGUCCAGAGGAACCUUGAAAACUGCAUAGAGCUAGGUGAAAAAGCCAAAAAAGAAGACCGCAAG